RNAcentral lists this ribosomal RNA (350 nucleotides) under uncultured bacterium. RNAcentral's name for it is "partial 16S ribosomal RNA". It matches the Rfam family "Bacterial small subunit ribosomal RNA", at positions 338 to 683 of the family's 1533-position model. The record is from RNAcentral.
CCUACGGGCGGCAGCAGUGAGGAAUAUUGGUCAAUGGACGCAAGUCUGAACCAGCCAAGUAGCGUGCAGGAUGACGGCCCUCCGGGUUGUAAACUGCUUUUAGUUGGGAAUAAAAGGGGGCUCGUGAGCCCCGUAUUGUAUGUACCAUCAGAAAAAGGACCGGCUAAUUCCGUGCUAGCAGCCGCGGUAAUACGGAAGGUCCGGGCGUUAUCCGGAUUUUUUGGGUUUCAAGGGAGCGUAGGCCGGCUUGUAAGUCAGCUGUGAAAGUCCGCGGCUCCACCGUGGAAUUGCAGUUGAAACUGGCGGCCUUGAGUGCACACAGGGAUGCCGGAAUGCAUGGUGUAGCGGUG